RNAcentral lists this long non-coding RNA (1750 nucleotides) under Homo sapiens (human). RNAcentral describes it as "HSALNT0253727". Lineage: Eukaryota; Metazoa; Chordata; Mammalia; Primates; Hominidae. The record is from RNAcentral.
AGGGGCCAGGCCCAGGCCGCCGCCGCUGCGCUCACCCCCAGCUUAAUUCCCCGGGCGGCCAUUAGGCAGAGCCAAGCCCCCGACCUUCUCCUCGCCUCGCGAGGGAUCACAGGCUGCGUCAACGCGCUGGGACACCGCGGGUCACCCGAGGCGGUGCGGGGGCCCGGGAGGGGCCGCGGGCCCCCGAACAAAGCUGGCCGGGCGGCGGGGUCCCCAACCCGCGUCCAGCGUGGUCCUGUCUGGUGUGAACCGUCAGCACAGAUGGCCUCCUGGAGCUUCCCCGAGUCGUUCGCUGGGGGAAGCGGGCGGUGAGCGGCCAGCCCGGGCGCUCCGCAGGCCGCGAGCUCCCGGCAGGGCUGGUGGCGGGGGUCCGCCUGGGGGAGGAAUCCCCGCCUGCUCCAUCGGACCCGGCCUGGCGCGGCUCGCGGCGCUCGGCGGGCUCCCUUCCAUUCUAGAAUCUUCCCGCUUGCUUCCCAGCCCGCGUUCUUCCGCCUGCCUUUAAUUGUAAUUUACAGGAUUAAGGAGUUUGGGGAAGUCGCAGAGCUGCAGCGGAAAGGCAGGGGUCUGAGACUACUUUUGAGAAGAGAAACAACGCAAAACGAUCGCUGGAGGGCCAGAGCCCUGGUCGAAGGUGCCCUAGCUUUUAUGACCUGGUUAAUUGUGUCUCCUUUUUAUUUUUAUUUUUUUCCUUACCACUACUACUACUACUACUUUUAUUUUUUUUUAACCGAUACACUUUGGAGAGAAGAAGCAGACACAGGUUCCCACGGCGUCUGACGCCUGCGGAGCAAGUCCAGAGCCAGCUGGACUCGCAGCCUCUGGCCCGGCGGCACCAACUCCUCACUGGGUCAUUUUGAGCGCGCUGUGCCCACCUUUUCUGUUGCGUGUGGACGUGGGGAGGAUCUUCUAAGUCCCUCCAACGAAGGCAAGUGUGAGACUCUGGCCCUUUAUUUGUAAGAAGCAAGCCUUCAGAUUGCAGAAGUGUCGCGCGGGUCGCCGUGCGUUGCGCGAGUGGGAAGAUGGAGGAGGCCGGCACGCUGCUUUCGUGGACGCAAGUGAACCGGGCGUGAAGGCAGGGUGCGAGCUCUGCCCUUGGCCCAGCCCUGCGUGGGCGCCGUCCCAGAUUCCGGGCGGUGCGGGGUGCAGAGAUCUGGAGAGACUUGCGGGCUCCCCAGCGCAGGCUGCUCUGGGAUUUCGUUGGAAGAUCCGGCAGAGCCUUGGAGGAGAGGGCCCGGGAGGCUGUGUGUGCAGCGGAAACUUGUACGAAUGCCCCCACAGCGGAAAUGGUGCGCACGAGUAAUUUCUGCGGUGCACCCUUUUAAAAAUUGACAAGUGAACAAGAUCAAUUUUUUAAGAAAGCAAAGGUAGAAAACAAAAGGCGUGCGACUUCUUGACUGGCUUGUUCCCGCCUUUCUUCCUUCUCUAUACUCAGAUCAGAAACUUUUCUUUAAUUGCUCUUAUUCAGUGCGACAACUUUUAAUAAAAGCAUUUGCAUUUUAAGCCUGAGUUGCAACCAUAGAUUUAUUGCGAAGUGACAACGUGUCUAUGGAAUAUUUUCGCAGAUGAGACAGGACAUGCGCUCUAGUCGUGCCCAGAUUAAAGCGACGCUGGGCCAUGUGCCUGUGUAGUGCAGACUCGGAGGGGCACACACAUACUCGUCACCACAUGACCACUGUCUAUUAAUAUUGUCAUACCUAAACACUCGCAAAAACAAAAGUUGCUUUUCUUCCCUGUAAUUAAAUCUAAUUUG